RNAcentral lists this unclassified non-coding RNA (279 nucleotides) under plant metagenome. Its description in RNAcentral is "partial contains small subunit ribosomal RNA, internal transcribed spacer 1, and 5.8S ribosomal RNA". The record is from RNAcentral.
UUUCCGUAGGUGAACCUGCGGAAGGAUCAUUCACAAGUAGUGUAUCUUGGCACUCUUUCAGUUCAUAUCUACCUCGUGUGCAAUGUUGUCGUGUAGUGCGGAUGCUUCUCAUUUGUGUUACAAGAUGUAAAUAUCAACUCUUGUUUUUUAUAACUGUGUCUAGAGACUUUUUGAAAACUUAAUUUAAAGACAACUUUCAACAAUUGUUCUUUUUGCCCUCGCAACGAUGAAGAACGCAGCAGAUCGAAACACGCCACGUCUUAACUCCACUCAUUUCGC